This 657-nucleotide long non-coding RNA is filed under the name Ananas comosus (pineapple). RNAcentral's name for it is "long non-coding RNA (ACOM_LNC035471)". Lineage: Eukaryota; Viridiplantae; Streptophyta; Magnoliopsida; Poales; Bromeliaceae. The record is from RNAcentral.
AAACUCCUAAAAUAGACAUCUAACACCCUAAACUCUAAUAUUUCAUUCGUUUUAACCCUUCCGUCAGUUUCCGGUUAACGGAGCUUGAUGGAAAACUAACGGAAGGGGUAACAUGAAUGAAAUAUUAGAGUUUAGGGUGUUAGAUGUCCAUUUUAGGAGUUCGAGGGAUAAAGUGAAACUUCGUCAAAAGUUCAGGGGGUAACAAUGCAAUUUACCCCCUUUUUUAUGAUGAAUAACUAGAUUUUUGUGGUGUUUAGUUUGGCUUGACUCAAAUGUGAUUUCGUUAUGGGAUUUUAAAUAAAGUGCUAUGAAUUUAUGGAAAUAGUUUUCUAUCCCUCAUGGUAGCUUGCUUUUAAAGGAUAAAAGGUUUUCAUAUGGAAAAUAGUUUUUAAAAGAUUUUUCGGCUUUUCAUGAUCGUAGUGAUUCAAAAUAAACUUUUUGGGUAGGAAACACUUUCAACUGAUAGAUGUGGAAUAUUUAUGAAUCAUGUGAUGUACAGUUGUGUUUAUAAAUUGUGAAAAGAUAUGGUUGUGACUUGUACUAUGUGUGACGCCGUGCAAAUACAGAAGAAACUCUAUGAGUGUGGAUAGAAAAUUCUCUAUAUUUGUGGCUAAUCUGUCAUCCCUUGGGUCAAGGGUUUUUUUUUUAAAAAAAGGC